UGGGGAAUUUUGCACAAUGGGCGGAAGCCUGAUGCAGCGACGCCGUGUGGGGGAUGAAGGCCUUCGGGUUGUAAACUCCUUUCGUCAGGGACGAAGUUUGUUUGACGGUACCUGGAUAAGAAGCACCGGCUAACUACGUGCCAGCAGCCGCGGUAAUACGUAGGGUGCGAGCGUUGUCCGGAUUUACUGGGCGUAAAGGGCUCGUAGGUGGUGUGUUGCGUCGUCUGUGUAAUCCAGGGGCUUAACUUUUGGUUGGCAGGCGAUACGGGCAUUGCUUGAGUGCUGUAGGGGAGACUGGAAUUCCUGGUGUAGCGGUGAAAUGCGCAGAUAUCAGGGGGAACACCGAUGGCGAAGGCAGGUCUCUGGGCAGUUACUGACGCUGAGGAGCGAGAGCAUGGGUAGCGAACAGG
RNAcentral lists this ribosomal RNA (410 nucleotides) under bacterium. Its description in RNAcentral is "partial 16S ribosomal RNA". It matches the Rfam family "Bacterial small subunit ribosomal RNA", at positions 355 to 776 of the family's 1533-position model. The record is from RNAcentral.